RNAcentral lists this microRNA precursor (73 nucleotides) under Myotis davidii. RNAcentral's name for it is "mir-9193 microRNA precursor family". It matches the Rfam family "mir-9193 microRNA precursor family". Lineage: Eukaryota; Metazoa; Chordata; Mammalia; Chiroptera; Vespertilionidae. The record is from Rfam by way of RNAcentral.
GGUGGGGAGGGUGGUCCCUCAGCCUGGAUUGCAAGAGGGUGCAGGCCAGGCUGAGGGAUCCCACCAGUGCAGG